Alosa sapidissima (American shad) is the source of this 190-nucleotide long non-coding RNA. RefSeq lists it as uncharacterized. Lineage: Eukaryota; Metazoa; Chordata; Actinopteri; Clupeiformes; Clupeidae. The transcript has 3 exons. The record is from RefSeq and is a predicted model, not a curated record.
CACUCAAUAGUUUACCAUAGUCUGGGUAGACGGUUUAUUGGGAACCUGUACAAAUUGUCUGCGGUUAGAAAGGUAUGAUCUAAACCAAGCGAGUGCUGAGUCUUUAAUGCCUAUCAAAUGUUCAAGCCUGUGGAGUAGUAUGUUGUGGUCUAUGGUGUCAAAGGCAGCACUGAGGUUGGAAAACACUGUA